CAAAUUACAAUCAAAUGAAAGUCCAGGUCACAAUAAAAGCUCCAUACAGGCACAUGAAUACAUGAUUCAGCGAGUUACGUACCGGAGAAGCAGAGUGGGAGAAUGGAAUUUAGAGCUUGACGGAUUUUCCUACUUUGUAGCGGUAGGAAGAACGACGAAGAAACAGUGAUGAAAUGAAAUGGAAAGCGGUAGAGUCUGAGUGGAUGGAUAAUCGGGGAGGGACAUAUGAAAUUGGAAAUCUAGAAGGAAUUAAGGAGUGGAGAGGAAGAAACAAAGAGAAGGAAAAGAUGACUACCGGCAACGAACCGGUGGUGGAAGAAGGG
Molecule: long non-coding RNA, 323 nt
Filed under: Linum usitatissimum (flax)
Lineage: Eukaryota; Viridiplantae; Streptophyta; Magnoliopsida; Malpighiales; Linaceae
Description: long non-coding RNA (LUSI_LNC003354)
Source: RNAcentral